RNAcentral lists this ribosomal RNA (589 nucleotides) under uncultured Bacteroidota bacterium. RNAcentral's name for it is "bacterial SSU rRNA". It matches the Rfam family "Bacterial small subunit ribosomal RNA", at positions 62 to 647 of the family's 1533-position model. Lineage: Bacteria; Pseudomonadati; Bacteroidota. The record is from RNAcentral.
UCGAGGGGCAGCAUGGGACUUCGGUCCUGAUGGCGACCGGCGCACGGGUGAGUAACGCGUACACAACCUACCUUCAAGAGGGGGAUAGCCUUGGGAAACUGAGAUUAAUACCCCAUGUGAUUAACUUAUUAAUGAUUGGUUAAUUAAAGCUGAGGCGCUUGAAGAUGGGUGUGCGUCUGAUUAGCUAGUUGGUAGGGUAACGGCCUACCAAGGCGAUGAUCAGUAGGGGGCGUGAGAGCGUGACCCCCCACACGGGUACUGAGACACGGACCCGACUCCUACGGGAGGCAGCAGUAAGGAAUAUUGGACAAUGGGCGAAAGCCUGAUCCAGCUAUCCCGCGUGCAGGAUGAAGGCCCUAUGGGUUGUAAACUGCUUUUGGCAGGGACGAAACUCACGCGUUUACGCGUGACUGACGGUACCUGCAGAAUAAGCACCGGCUAACUCCGUGCCAGCAGCCGCGGUAAUACGGAGGGUGCAAGCGUUAUCCGGAAUCACUGGGUUUAAAGGGUGCGUAGGUGGCUUGAUAAGUCAGUGGUGAAAGCCCACCGCUCAACGGUGGAAUUGCCAUUGAUACUGUCAGGCUUGAAU